UACGAGUGCCCCGAGCGUUAUCCGGAAUCAUUGGGCGUAAAGGGUGUGUAGGUGGUCGUGUUAGUCGGAUGUUAAAACCUGGGGCUCAACCUCAGAUCGGCGUUCGAAACGGCACAACUAGAGGAUGGCAGGGAUGUAUGGAACUCAUGGAGUAGGGGUGAAAUCCGUUGAUAUCAUGGGGAACACCAAAAGCGAAGGCAGUACAUUGGGCCACUCCUGACACUGAAACACGAAAGCGUGGGUAGCGAAUGGG
This 253-nucleotide ribosomal RNA is filed under the name uncultured bacterium. RNAcentral describes it as "partial 16S ribosomal RNA". It matches the Rfam family "Bacterial small subunit ribosomal RNA", at positions 524 to 776 of the family's 1533-position model. The record is from RNAcentral.